Unclassified non-coding RNA from Neogale vison (American mink), 133 nucleotides. The record is from Ensembl. Lineage: Eukaryota; Metazoa; Chordata; Mammalia; Carnivora; Mustelidae.
GGUCACUUAGGUUCAUUUUAUCUGGUUAAUGGAUUAUUCACCUUUUGCUUCUCUACCACACAUCUUUUGAACUUUCUUCAGUCAAAGACUUUCACCCAAAAAUGAACCUGAAGAGGAAAACACCAGUCACUUU